Molecule: long non-coding RNA, 1492 nt
Organism: Mesocricetus auratus (golden hamster)
Lineage: Eukaryota; Metazoa; Chordata; Mammalia; Rodentia; Cricetidae
Exons: 2
Source: RefSeq, a predicted model, not a curated record
AUGAAACUCCGCAGAAGAGGAGAGAGGAGACUUUGGAGAUAGAGCCCUGGGGGCCCCGUGUGCGUGUCAGCUGGGAAGCAUAGCGCUGCCGUUCCGUUCCGUGCUGGGAGAGGAAGUAACCCUGAGGGCAGAGGCUGGGGACCUGCAGGUGGAGGCAUGCAAAGAAAGACAUUAUGAAGGACAAAGAAACGAGAUUAGGAGCAUACAGUUGUGAUCUCAAUAUUUAGGAGGCUGAGGCAGGAGGAUUGUUGGUUGAAAGCCACUCUUGGCUACCCUAUCAACAAACAAACAAGGCCAAGCAAAGGUGAGCAGAGAAACCAAUGAUGUUAGCUGUCAAGAUGCCUAAGACAGACUACAAGGUGUGUCCUUAGGCCUGCUGAGACACUGGAUACCCGAGUGUUUCACCCCUGUUCACACCUAUCUCAGCAGCUCGUUUAGGGACUUCUCAGUAUUCCAGUCUUAUUUAGCCGACUUUUCCUACUAAACCAUUACCCUUCAAAGAGCUGCUUUAUAAACGCAGAGUCUGUGAGCUAGGUAGAGAACAGUCAAAGCUGGGAUGGGAGCAAGAGCAGUAGCAAACCACCUGGACAAUGGAGGGAGCACAAACAGGAAACAUACAUGAGAAAGCACGUGCACUUCCCAAAUCAUCUGUUCCCACACUAAAGAGAAAAAACAACAACAAAGACACAUUACAGGUGAGCUAACAAAAGUUUUAUUGAAUAAAUACAUGUGCUGUUAUGUAAAAUUAAUUAAGCGAAAAGCACAUUCUAUGAUUUAAAAAAACCCAAAAACCAAUCCUCUGUGGUCCUCCUCUACAGUGGGUAAUCCAGAUGGGACCAGUCAUUGCAGCAACCAGAGAAUACAUAUCCAGGGACUGGGGCUCUCUGCAUCUGCCUGGCGUUUCUGAAAUAAUACCCAACUGUCUGGAGGACUGACCUCUGUCUGCAUAAGGACAGAGUCCCUGUAGAGGAACUCUCGGGUGCAGAACAUAAGGGGUGGUAACUGCAGUUGCAAGGGUGCUUCCGUUUUCCCUUGGUACUUUAAGGCACAGGAUAAGUCGCCACGUAGGUGAGUUAGUGGAGCUGUACUUCAAAUCACUAAUUUCCCCUCACUGGUUUGGUUCUAAGUAGAAAACUUAAAGUUCUUUUUUCCAAGAUAAGUCAUUAAAAACUGAAAGUUAGCAUUUUGAGAACCCAAAGUAUCUUCUAUCUUCAGGACACUGGAACGUGCCUUGAUGGCAACUCAGCUCUCCACGUGCAGGAUACAGGACUACAACCAGGAGGUGGGCUGGUAUUACCGGACUUUCUCCUUUCCAAAGAGGACUCAGAUGAUGCAGGUGGGGAGGCUGUAUCUGAGCUCACUGGUGCCAGCGUUUGUGACUGCAGCAGAGGGCGCCAGAUUGAGGACUUACUAGGCGAUUGUACCCUUAAAUAUAUUCAAUUUACCUAAUUGUUAAGUAAAGUAUUCUGUUAAAUAAAACACAUACUGAACA